UUUCUAGUUUUUAGUACAUUAUUAUGUUUAAUCACAAGUCAACCAUUUGACUUAAAAAGUUUUUUUUUACUUUUUUUUAUUAAAAGUGGAGGAUACAAGUGCCGUUUUCAAUGACGAAACCAAAUACAGAAUCCUCGUUGGUGGUCUUCUGUAUAUCGCGGUGUUUGCUAGGCCGAACAUUGGUGUGAAUACAGCGAUACUCGGCCGUAAAGUGAGUGCUCCGACAGAGACUUGUUGGGUGACGGCAAAGCGAGUAGUUCGCUAUUUGAAGGCAACAAUGCAUUGGAAAUUAGUGUACAGUGGAUCUAGAGGUGGACCGAUAGGCUUUGUUGAUGCAAAUUGGAGGGAAGGAACGAUCUACCAGCCUUACCUGGGAAGGGUUAGCCCAGAUAUCGAGUGGAGUUCUCACCCACAAAAACCAAGCCUCCUUCUCAUAGCCUAAUUUCCUUCGGGAUCACAUCUAGACGACAACUUCGGAGGGCGGCUGUGCUCAUGAACUUCGCCUAUUGUUACCUUUUUAUUUAUUUGCCAUUUGAUUCUAAUUUUGCAGCAUCCGUUUACCCGUCAAGCCGUGUACCGAUUAGGAAUUGCCCUCCAACUUGACGCGCAACCCGUCACAGUCACCCUCGCAGGAUUUCUCUUUACAACGAAGUACCGAUUAAGUAGUACCCUCCAACAUGACGCGCACUCCGUCACAACUAUGACAAAUAACCCGUGACAAAAGCAUGAGUCUACCACUCACUGACAAAUUCCGGGAAAGUCUAUAGGCUUACUAUAGAACUCGCUGUCGCAAAUAAUCGGGGUUCCACUGUACCCCCAGAUACGACGCAAUUAGGAAAUUAAGAUUCUAUAAUUAAAACACUAAUUUAAAAUUUA
Long non-coding RNA from Toxorhynchites rutilus septentrionalis, 876 nucleotides. RefSeq lists it as uncharacterized. The transcript is spliced from 2 exons. Lineage: Eukaryota; Metazoa; Arthropoda; Insecta; Diptera; Culicidae. The record is from RefSeq and is a predicted model, not a curated record.